Molecule: non-coding RNA, 85 nt
Organism: Parelaphostrongylus tenuis
Lineage: Eukaryota; Metazoa; Nematoda; Chromadorea; Rhabditida; Metastrongylidae
Source: the annotation of a GenBank genome assembly
GCUCCAUUGGCGCAGUUGGUUAGUCGCAUGGUACUUAUAAGAUUAAGGAAUGCCAAGGUCGGGAGUUCGAUCCUCCCAUGGAGCA